Molecule: ribosomal RNA, 460 nt
Filed under: uncultured bacterium
Lineage: Bacteria
Description: partial 16S ribosomal RNA
Rfam family: Bacterial small subunit ribosomal RNA
Source: RNAcentral
CCUACGGGGGGCAGCAGUGAGGAAUAUUGGUCAAUGGGCGCGAGCCUGAACCAGCCAAGCAGCGUGAAGGAUGACUGCCCUACGGGUUGUAAACUUCUUUUGUACGGGAAUAAAGUGAGGUACGUGUGCCUGUUUGCAUGUACUUUAUGAAUAAGGAUCGGCUAACUCCGUGCCAGCAGCCGCGGUAAUACGGAGGAUCCGAGCGUUAUCCGGAUUUAUUGGGUUUAAAGGGAGCGUAGAUGGGUUGUUAAGUCAGUUGUGAAAGUUUGCGGCUCAACCGUAAAAUUGCAAUUGAUACUGGCGGACUUGAGUACAGUUGAGGUAGGCGGAAUGCAUGGUGUAGCGGUGAAAUGCUUAGAUAUCACGAAGAACUCCGAUUGCGAAGGCAGCUUACUAAACUACAACUGACAUUGAUGCUCGAAAGUGUGGGUAUCAAACAGGAUUAGAUACCCUUGUAGUC